UGGGAUACCCGCUGAACUUAAGCAUAUCAAUAAGCGGAGGAAAAGAAACCAACAGGGAUUGCCUCAGUAACGGCGAGUGAAGCGGCAACAGCUCAAAUUUGAAAUCUGGCUCCUUGCGGGGUCCGAGUUGUACUUUGCAGAGGGUGGUUCGGCAACGGCGCCUGUCUAAGUUCCUUGGAACGGGACGUCAGAGAGGGUGAGAACCCCGUACGCGGCAGGUGCCUGCGCCAUGUGAACCCCCUUCGACGAGUCGAGUUGUUUGGGAAUGCAGCUCUAAAUGGGAGGUAUAUUUCUUCUAAAGCUAAAUACUGGCCAGAGACCGAUAGCGCACAAGUAGAGUGAUCGAAAGAUGAAAAGCACUUUGGAAAGAGAGUCAAACAGCACGUGAAA
Molecule: ribosomal RNA, 390 nt
Filed under: Weissella confusa
Lineage: Bacteria; Bacillati; Bacillota; Bacilli; Lactobacillales; Lactobacillaceae
Description: partial 23S ribosomal RNA
Rfam family: Eukaryotic large subunit ribosomal RNA
Source: RNAcentral